Molecule: ribosomal RNA, 484 nt
Filed under: uncultured Bacteroidota bacterium
Lineage: Bacteria; Pseudomonadati; Bacteroidota
Description: bacterial SSU rRNA
Rfam family: Bacterial small subunit ribosomal RNA
Source: RNAcentral
CAGCGGCCUAUCAUGCAGCCGACGGCAAGUCUGAUAGCAAUAUUAUACCUAGAGUGGCGUAAGGGUGCGUAACACGUAUGCAGUCUGCCCGCAACAGGAGGAUAGCUCCCCGAAAGGGGAAUUAACCCUCCAUAGGACCACACGAGGGCAUCCGAGAGUGGUUAAACUACAAGGGGUUGCGGAUGAACAUGCGGUUGAUUAGCUAGUUGGUAGGGUAACGGCCUACCAAGGCGAUGAUCAAUAGGGGAACUGAGAGGUUUAUCCCCCACACUGGCACUGAGAUACGGGCCAGACUCCUACGGGAGGCAGCAGUAGGGAAUAUUGGACAAUGGGCGAGAGCCUGAUCCAGCCAUGCCGCGUGCAGGAAGAAGGCCUUCUGGGUUGUAAACUGCUUUUGCCAGGGGAUAAAAAGUCCCUGCGGGGAAAAUUGAAGGUACCUGGUGAAUAAGCCACGGCUAACUACGUGCCAGCAGCCCGCGGUAAU